Paramuricea clavata is the source of this 1184-nucleotide non-coding RNA. NCBI's taxonomy places the organism in Eukaryota, Metazoa, Cnidaria, Anthozoa, Malacalcyonacea, Plexauridae. The record is from the annotation of a GenBank genome assembly.
GGAUUGAAAAAUUAACAGCAAUGAAACAGGCAUGCAUUGCAGGUAAAGUUAGAUAUUAGGACAAUCUGUUUAAAUCUAGCUCAUGAUGUUUUACCCUGGUGAAUAUGAUUCAACCAUAUAUGAUUAAAAAAUAUAUAUUAUGUGUUACUACUGCAAUGCAACAUUUGUCCUACCAUAACCCUAACCCAUGGCCCGUCUUCAUACAGCGAAAUGAUUUGAACACAGGGCUUUUUUUAAGAACUUGUCUGGGGGGUGGGCAUCUACAAAAAGGGACCAUACUAUACUGAGUGUGGAGAGAUGACAGAUGGUUGUUGGUGACAAAAAGUUUGGUGUGGUAUUGUAUGUAUUAGUAGGGGGGGUCUGGGGAAAAUUUUUUUGUAUUUUUCCCCAGGACUGAAAUGUGAGCAUUUUCUGAAACAGAUUUUUGGAUAUACAGCGUUACAUUGUGCUUUGAUAGACCGAAUCUGAUCAGUCAAGUGUACUUGCAUGGUAUGUUUAUGUAAAUACCACAGCUGGGUCACUCAGGGGGUAGGAAGCUUGUUAAACUUAGUGGGCACCACUCCCACUAAGGCACUACCAUGGUUGGCACAGAGCAGGGAAAUUUUGAAAAUUUUGAGUCUCUAGAUCAUUGGAAAUGGCAUUUUCAGAGUCUUCUUUUUUGCUAUUUGUGAUUAUAGAAACCAAAACUCUAGACAUGGUAUUUAAGUUCAAAAACUUUUUUACCCCCCCCCCCUUUCUCUGUGUUAAAACUUUUUUGACCCCCCUAUUUAUAAGGGUAAAACUUUGUUUACCCCCCCUCCCAUUUACCACCCCCCCCAUAAAUAAUGACCACUCCCUAAGUAGCAUGUUAUUGUUGGCAUCUUGGAUCAAUUUAAUAAAUAUAUAAAUAGACAUCUUCUUGUUUUAUUGUUGCAUCAAUUUUAAUUGGAAAAAAUAUUCACAAACUAGAUCAAGUAUAUGGAUAAAUUAUUCAUUUACUAAAGUACAUUGUUACAGUUAUUUAUGCGACCUCGUACCCAGAGUCCUUCCUCUUGGGGAGAAAAAACCCCGGUAGAUGCUGGUCACGUGAUCUGCUAAAAUCUAGCAGAUUUCUAAUUAACUAUCUUGAAUUCCUUUAUGACAAUCAUAUACAAAAUGCAAAUUAUAAAUUAACAUAUAAAAAUCAUCCAAAUAUCAAAUAUUUA